This is a long non-coding RNA of Prionailurus viverrinus (fishing cat), 1505 nucleotides long. RefSeq lists it as uncharacterized. The transcript is spliced from 3 exons. Lineage: Eukaryota; Metazoa; Chordata; Mammalia; Carnivora; Felidae. The record is from RefSeq and is a predicted model, not a curated record.
CGCAGCGGCAACGGCGGGGGCCCGGGGGGCUUCGGGUGCCAACACGGAACUCGCGCGCAAGUCCGCCGGCCGCUCGAGCGGCGCGCGGACUGCCCCAGCGCGGGACGGCCCUCGGCCGCCCGGCCCCGCCCCGCCCGGCCAGGCAUGAUUGGGGGCACGACCGAGGAAAAAUGGAGUUGCACACUGACUGAUCCACAAGAUGACUUCUUAAUGUAUAUACAUUAUUGUCUCUGACUUACACUUGUUCCCCCUCGCACUGUGGGCGAGUCUCAGAACCACUACUCCUGAGGGAUCUUCAAAGUGUCAGUUUUAUCUUCUGGUUUUCCAUGAUGCCUUCGAGCAGGGUCAGAUGGUUCCCUACUGGCUAUAAACGGCUAUAGCAGCCCCAAGCCUCACAUCUUCAUACUCAUGGAAGAGCAAACGUCCUGAGGUUUACCAGAAUUGGAUGAGCUGAAGCCGGGGUUAUAUUCCCAUUUCUGAAACAAUCAGAAGAACUUCAAGAGGGGGAGCAAAUUGAUGCGGCUGGGCCUGGAGUAGGUAAUGAGUUCAACGUAUUCAGUCCAAGCGUGUGGCUGAAAAUCAUAUUUGCACUGCUCCCCGAAUCGUGAAUCAGAAGCUGUUGCCAGCAGAAUGGAAGUUAGAAAAGCAACUAAAAUCGUUCUCUGUGGUCCCUGGAUCAUGGAGCACACAUUCUUGGGACGGUGGGGGAAUCGGAGAAGAAAUAAGCCAACAAAUAAGCAAGAUAGACAUGGUGAUAAAUGCUUUGAUGGUCCUAGAAUAGGAUGUGGUCUCCAAGAAAACAGAUUUAUAUUUGUUUUGCUCUUUCCAAUAUCCCACCUGCCUAAGCCAGUGCCUAGCACACAUCAGCCCAAAGUAAAUGUUUGUUGAGUUGAAUUGCAUGAAAUAAUAAGGAGGGUAAAAUGAUAAUCGUUGCUCUGUAUCAUGCCUCUCUGCUCCCAACCAACUGCUUUCCUUGGGUCUCCCUUGUCAGCGACAUGCCUUGGCUUCUGCUCUCCUUCCCACCUGGGACCUACUCCUUUCCCCCACUGUGUGUCCAGGUCCUACACAUUGUUCCCAACUUUGUCAAAAUUCCAUCUUCUUCAGGUGCCUUCCAUGACAUACCUGCUGCUCUUUAACUUCCUCCUGACCAUCCUCUGCUCCACCAUGGCAUUUAUCAGCAAUGUGCCCUUUAGCCCUAGGUUUUAUUAGACUUGGUAAUUUGCCAAAUGUUCUUUUAUAACAUUAACUAACACAAUUUUAUCUUUACAUGCCUUAAAAUCCCGAACAGAGCAUGAUCUAUCUGUAGAUAGGCAUUGGUUGUUUUUUCCCUAGCUUAGCCAUUUACUAGGUAUAUAUGAACCUGGGUAAAUGAUUCGCUGCUCUGAGAGUCAAUUUCCUGAUCUGUAACAUGGGGGUUGUACCUCCCUCGUGAGGCUGCUCUGAGUACUGAGGUUAUGUAUGCCACCUCCACAUGGUAGGUACUUGAUAAACAGGGGUGAUGAUGA